AAAAUAGGAAAAAAAAUCAAAAAAAAA
This 27-nucleotide small RNA is filed under the name Arabidopsis thaliana (thale cress). RNAcentral's name for it is "ATSL144660". The record is from RNAcentral. Lineage: Eukaryota; Viridiplantae; Streptophyta; Magnoliopsida; Brassicales; Brassicaceae.